This 911-nucleotide long non-coding RNA is filed under the name Rattus norvegicus (Norway rat). Its description in RNAcentral is "long non-coding RNA NONRATT011913". Lineage: Eukaryota; Metazoa; Chordata; Mammalia; Rodentia; Muridae. The record is from RNAcentral.
GGCUUUGAUAUUUCUGUUAGAUCUUUCACAGAGUUCCCAUUGUUGAGUUCCUACUAUUUUAACACCUUCCUGUUACACAAUCGUCUGCCUCACUUCUGGACGACUUAAGAUAGGGAAUAUAAACUCAGUAAAAUAACAGCCUUUGUUCUUCACUUUCCCCAUCUUAACUAAUGUCCUAAGAGUUGAACAAAUUCUUUAUAUGGAGUGCUCCCAUCACAUGUUCAAGGUGCCUACAACUUAUUUAAAACUCAUGUCAUGUAACCCUUAAAAAUCAAAACUUGGCAUUUGCAGAAUGGAUUAAUCUAAAGUUCACACAAUGAGCCUUCCUAAAAUACAUGCUUGGCAUCAAAGAAAACCUAUGAGGUGUGUACGUACAUGCACAGACACAGAAAUUUCAUUGUGGUUUGGGCUGAAAAUGUAAAAUACAAAAAUCUUAACAAAAAACCAUCAGAUCGCCUUAAAGCUGAACUAUGACUUAAUGCAAUUAGGAUUCUAAAGGAAACCACACUUCAGUAUCUUUUGCAGCCAUUUUAAUGUUGAUGUUCUCUGCUCCCCAUUUUCUAUGACUCUGCUCAUCCUUAGGUAUGUGAAUUAAGUUAGCAUAUAAUAACAGACGAGAUUCUGUGCAGUUGUGUGCUGAGAUAUUAAGGACACUGUAUAUAGUUGAAGACAAAGUUGGACAUUAUUUCUUCAGUAUUUUCUAGCAGACACUUGUUUUAAGCUUCUAGCUACAAUAACAUCGCAUUAUAUUUAUCUAUAUGGUGUACCUAAAUUAUUGCAGUGAAUUAGAAAUGUACAACUGCUUGGUGUACUGGAAAAAAGGAACAAAUGUAUGUAUUGUUGGUAAGUGAAUAAUGAAAACAAUGAAAAAUAACAUUCCUUAGUGCAAAUAAAGUCACUGUGUGUGCUCU